GACGAACGCUGGCGGCGUGCUUAACACAUGCAAGCCGAACGAUGAAGCCGGAGCUUGCUCCGGUGGAUUAGUGGCGAACGGGUGAGUAACACGUGAGCAAUCUGCCCUUGACUCUGGGAUAACUGCGGGAAACUGUAGCUAAUACCGGAUACGACACCUUGGGGCAUCCCAGGGUGUGGAAAGAAUUUCGGUCAAGGAUGAGCUCGCGGCCUAUCAGCUAGUUGGUGAGGUAAUGGCUCACCAAGGCGACGACGGGUAGCCGGCCUGAGAGGGUGACCGGCCACACUGGAGCUGAGACACGGUCCAGACUCCUACGGGAGGCAGCAGUGGGGAAUAUCGCACAAUGGGCGAAAGCCUGAUGCAGCAACGCCGCGUGAGGGAUGAAGACCUUCGGGUUGUAAACCUCUUUUAGCAGGGAAGAAGCGAAAGUGACGGUACCUGCAGAAAAAGCACCGGCUAACUACGUGCCAGCCGCCGCGGUAA
This 483-nucleotide ribosomal RNA is filed under the name uncultured bacterium. Its description in RNAcentral is "partial 16S ribosomal RNA". It matches the Rfam family "Bacterial small subunit ribosomal RNA", at positions 28 to 523 of the family's 1533-position model. The record is from RNAcentral.